UACGAGGGGGGCGAGCGUUGUUCGGAAUUAUUGGGCGUAAAGGGUGCGUAGGCGGUUUGGUAAGUCUCUUGUGAAAUCUAUGGGCUCAACUCAUAGUCUGCAAGGGAAACUGCCGGGCUUGAGUGUGGGAGAGGUGAGUGGAAUUUCCGGUGUAGCGGUGAAAUGCGUAGAUAUCGGAAGGAACACCUGUGGCGAAGGCGGCUCACUGGACCACAACUGACGCUGAUGCACGAAAGCUAGGGGAGCAAACAGG
This 253-nucleotide ribosomal RNA is filed under the name uncultured bacterium. RNAcentral describes it as "partial 16S ribosomal RNA". It matches the Rfam family "Bacterial small subunit ribosomal RNA", at positions 524 to 776 of the family's 1533-position model. The record is from RNAcentral.